Molecule: transfer RNA, 65 nt
Filed under: Polycheles baccatus
Lineage: Eukaryota; Metazoa; Arthropoda; Malacostraca; Decapoda; Polychelidae
Description: tRNA-His
Source: RNAcentral
AUUUAAAUAGUUUAAGGAAAACGUUAGUUUGUGGGGCUAGAAUUAUAAAGAAAUUAUUUUAAAUC